This 662-nucleotide ribosomal RNA is filed under the name Cutibacterium acnes. RNAcentral's name for it is "bacterial SSU rRNA". It matches the Rfam family "Bacterial small subunit ribosomal RNA", at positions 28 to 698 of the family's 1533-position model. The record is from RNAcentral. Lineage: Bacteria; Bacillati; Actinomycetota; Actinomycetes; Propionibacteriales; Propionibacteriaceae.
GACGAACGCUGGCGGCGUGCUUAACACAUGCAAGUCGAACGGAAAGGCCCUGCUUUUGUGGGGUGCUCGAGUGGCGAACGGGUGAGUAACACGUGAGUAACCUGCCCUUGACUUUGGGAUAACUUCAGGAAACUGGGGCUAAUACCGGAUAGGAGCUCCUGCUGCAUGGUGGGGGUUGGAAAGUUUCGGCGGUUGGGGAUGGACUCGCGGCUUAUCAGCUUGUUGGUGGGGUAGUGGCUUACCAAGGCUUUGACGGGUAGCCGGCCUGAGAGGGUGACCGGCCACAUUGGGACUGAGAUACGGCCCAGACUCCUACGGGAGGCAGCAGUGGGGAAUAUUGCACAAUGGGCGGAAGCCUGAUGCANCAACGCCGCGUGCGGGAUGACGGCCUUCGGGUUGUAAACCGCUUUCGCCUGUGACGAAGCGUGAGUGACGGUAAUGGGUAAAGAAGCACCGGCUAACUACGUGCCAGCAGCCGCGGUGAUACGUAAGGUGCGAAGCGUUGUCCGGAUUUAUUGGGCGUAAAAGGCUCGUACGUGGUUGAUCGCGUCAGAAGUGUAAUCUUUGGGGCUUAACCCUGAGCGUGCUUUCNAUACCGGUUGACUUGANGNAAGUAAGGGAAAAUGGAAUUUCUUGGUGGANCNGUGGAAUGCGCAGAUNUC